UACGAAGGUCCCAAGCGUUGUUCGGAAUCACUGGGCGUAAAGGGAGCGUAGGCGGCGUGGUAAGUCAGAUGUGAAAUCCCGGGGCUCAACCCCGGAACUGCAUCCGAUACUGCCAUGCUAGAGGAUUGGAGAGGUAGCUGGAAUUCUUGGUGUAGCAGUGAAAUGCGUAGAUAUCGAGAGGAACACCUGCGGCGAAGGCGGGUUGCUGGGCCGACACUGACGCUGAUGCGCGAAAGCCAGGGGAGCGAACGGG
Molecule: ribosomal RNA, 253 nt
Filed under: uncultured bacterium
Lineage: Bacteria
Description: partial 16S ribosomal RNA
Rfam family: Bacterial small subunit ribosomal RNA
Source: RNAcentral